Molecule: ribosomal RNA, 254 nt
Filed under: uncultured Stenotrophomonas sp.
Lineage: Bacteria; Pseudomonadati; Pseudomonadota; Gammaproteobacteria; Lysobacterales; Lysobacteraceae
Description: partial 16S ribosomal RNA
Rfam family: Bacterial small subunit ribosomal RNA
Source: RNAcentral
CGGACGGGUGAGGAAUACAUCGGAAUCUACUCUGUCGUGGGGGAUAACGUAGGGAAACUUACGCUAAUACCGCAUACGACCUACGGGUGAAAGCAGGGGAUCUUCGGACCUUGCGCGAUUGAAUGAGCCGAUGUCGGAUUAGCUAGUUGGCGGGGUAAAGGCCCACCAAGGCGACGAUCCGUAGCUGGUCUGAGAGGAUGAUCAGCCACACUGGAACUGAGACACGGUCCAUACUCCUACGGGAGGCAGCAGAG